RNAcentral lists this ribosomal RNA (484 nucleotides) under uncultured bacterium. RNAcentral describes it as "partial 16S ribosomal RNA". It matches the Rfam family "Bacterial small subunit ribosomal RNA", at positions 30 to 507 of the family's 1533-position model. The record is from RNAcentral.
AUUGAACGCUGGCGGCAGGCCUAACACAUGCAAGUCGAGCGGAUGAGGGGAGCUUUCUCCCUGAUUUAGCGGCGGACGGGUGAGUAAUGCCUAGGAAUCUGCCUGGUAGUUGGGGAUAACGUUCCGAAAGGAACGCUAAUACCGCAUACGUCCUACGGGAGAAAGCCGGGGAUCUUCGGUCCUUGCGCUAUCUGAUGAGCCUAGGUCGGAUUAGCUAGUUGGUGAGGUAAUGGCUCACCAAGGCGACGAUCCGUAACUGGUCUGAGAGGAUGAUCAGUUACACUGGAACUGAGACACGGUCCAGACUCCUACGGGAGGCAGCAGUGGGGAAUAUUGGACAAUGGGCGAAAGCCUGAUCCAGCCAUGCCGCGUGUGUGAAGAAGGUCUUCGGAUUGUAAAGCACUUUAAGUUGGGAGGAAGGGCUGCUGGUUAAUACCCUGCAGUUUUGACGUUACCAACAGAAUAAGCACCGGCUAACUUCGUG